UCGCUGUGAAGAUGCAGUGUACCCGCGGCAAGACGGAAAGACCCCGUGAACCUUUACUAUAGCUUGACACUGAACAUUGAGCCUUGAUGUGUAGGAUAGGUGGGAGGCUUUGAAGCGUGGACGCCAGUCUGCGUGGAGCCGACCUUGAAAUACCACCCUUUAAUGUUUGAUGUUCUAACGUGGACCCGUGAUCCGGGUUGCGGACAGUGUCUGGUGGGUAGUUUGACUGGGGCGGUCUCCUCCUAAAGAGUAACGGAGGAGCACGAAGGUUGGCUAAUCCUGGUCGGACAUCAGGAGGUUAGUGCAAUGGCAUAAGCCAGCUUGACUGCGAGCGUGACGGCGCGAGCAGGUGCGAAAGCAGGUCAUAGUGAUCCGGUGGUUCUGAAUGGAAGGGCCAUCGCUCAACGGAUAAAAGGUACUCCGGGGAUAACAGGCUGAUACCGCCCAAGAGUUCAUAUCGACGGCGGUGUUUGGCACCUCGAUGUCGGCUCAUCACAUCCUGGGGCUGAAGUAGGUCCCAAGGGUAUGGCUGUUCGCCAUUUAAAGUGGUACGCGAGCUGGGUUUAGAACGUCGUGAGACAGUUCGGUCCCUAUCUGCCGUGGGCGCUGGAGAACUGAGGGGGGCUGCUCCUAGUACGAGAGGACCGGAGUGGACGCAUCACUGGUGUUCGGGUUGUCAUGCCAAUGGCACUGCCCGGUAGCUAAAUGCGGAAGAGAUAAGUGCUGAAAGCAUCUAAGCACGAAACUUGCCCCGA
RNAcentral lists this ribosomal RNA (755 nucleotides) under Salmonella enterica. Its description in RNAcentral is "partial 23S ribosomal RNA". It matches the Rfam family "Bacterial large subunit ribosomal RNA", at positions 2048 to 2802 of the family's 2925-position model. The record is from RNAcentral. Lineage: Bacteria; Pseudomonadati; Pseudomonadota; Gammaproteobacteria; Enterobacterales; Enterobacteriaceae. RNAcentral also lists the same sequence under 1 other name.